UCAGCCCGCCCACUUGUCUCUCAGGUGGCGUCGGGUACGGAGUGGGUUUGCUCGGGGCUCGCUGCCAGUUCCUAAGCGUCUCCACGCGGGAAGCGGCUGCCUUCGCUGAGGCGCGGCGUCGAGCCGAGCGUUGUGAGGCAGUCCCGCCGCCUCAGCCGACGCGCGCGGCCCGUCCAGGGCGCCAGUUCCCGACGCGCAGCCCCGGGCCGCGGGCCGAGCCUCCGAGACCAUGAGCUACGGCCGCCCGCCCCCCGACGUGGAGGGCAUGACCUCCCUCAAGGUGGACAACCUGACCUACCGCACCUCGCCCGACACGCUACGGCGCGUCUUCGAGAAGUACGGGCGCGUGGGCGACGUGUACAUCCCGCGGGACCGCUACACCAAGGAGUCCCGCGGCUUCGCCUUCGUGCGCUUCCACGACAAGCGCGACGCCGAGGACGCCAUGGACGCCAUGGACGGCGCCGUGCUGGACGGCCGCGAGCUGCGCGUGCAGAUGGCGCGCUACGGCCGCCCGCCCGACUCGCACCACAGCCGCCGCGGGCCGCCCCCGCGCAGGUACGGCGGCAGCGGCUACGGACGGCGGAGUCGCAGCCCCCGGCGCCGCCGCCGCAGCCGCUCUCGCAGCCGCAGCCGCUCCCGGUCCCGGAGCCGAUCCCGCUACAGCCGCUCCAAGUCUCGGUCCCGCACGCGCUCCAGAUCGCGCUCCACGUCCAAGUCCAGGUCCGCGCGGAGGUCCAAGUCCAAGUCGUCGUCGGUCUCCAGGUCGCGCUCGCGCUCCAGGUCCCGGUCCCGGUCCCGGAGUCCUCCGCCCGUGUCCAAGAGGGAGUCCAAGUCCAGGUCGCGAUCCAAGAGUCCGCCCAAGUCUCCGGAAGAGGAAGGAGCGGUGUCCUCUUAAAACCAUGCUGCGGUCUCCUGUUUGAUAAAAGAAUAUUGGCCAGUAUUGCAGAUUUUAACUGAUUUGGCUGAUCCUCCAGGGACCAGUUUCUGUGGGCGUGUAUUGGAGCCAGAUGUAUCGGCAAGCAACAUAAUGGAGGACUUGGGGAGAAAGGACCACACAAAAACUCAGUCCAUCAGAGUCCUUGGAACAAGCAACUGGCUAUUGAAAAGGUUAUUUUGUAACAUUUGUCUAACUUUUUACUUGUUUUAAACAUUGCCUCAGGUGGCAAACUUCAUUUUAUGUGCCAUUUUGUUGCUGUUAUUCAAAUUUCUUGUAAUUUAGUGAGGUGAACGACUUCAGAUUUCAUUAUUGGCUUGGAUAUUUAAGGUAAAAUUUCAUUUUUGUUUGUAUAGUGCUGACUUUUUUUGUUUGAAAUUAAACAGAUUGGUAAUUUGUGGCCUCCUGACUUUUUAAGGAAACGUGUGCAGCCAUUACUUGCUGAAUAGCCUAAAGCUGUCAAGAGAUUGACUCAACAUUGCCUUCCUUAAAAUUAAAAACCUACAAAAGCUGGUGUAAAUUUGUAUAUGCUAUUUACCUUCAGAUCUAAAUGGUAAUCUGAACCCAAAUUUGUAUAAAGACUUUUCAGGUGAAAAGACUUGAUAUUUUGGAAGGAUUGUUUACCAAACACAAUUCUAAUCUCUUCUCUUAUGUAUUUUUGUGCACUAGGCGCAGUUGUGUAGCAGUUGAGUAAUGCUGGUUAGCUGUUAAGGUGGCGUGUUGCAGUGCAGAGUGCUUGGCUGUUUCCUGUUUUCUCCUGGUUGCUCCUGUGUAAAGCUGCCUUGUCGUGCAGAAACAAAUGGCUGUCCAGUUUAUUAAAAUGCCUGACAACUGCACUUCCAGUCACCCGGGCCUUGCAUAUAAAUAAUGGAGCAUACAGUGAGCACAUCUAGCUGAUGAUAAACACACCUUUUUUUUCCCCUUCAUCCCCGAAAUGGUAAAUCCAGUCAUCUUCAUGUAUGAACUUAAAUAUGGAAAAAAAAAAAAUGUUCAGGAAGCAAAUGGUUUGUAACUUUGUAAGUACUUAACCCCUGGUGUACCUUUUUGCUUAUGAAUAUUCUGUACUAUAACCAUUGUUUCUGUAGUUUAAUUAAAACAUUUUUUUGGUGUUA
Molecule: RNA transcript, 2046 nt
Organism: Loxodonta africana (African savanna elephant)
Lineage: Eukaryota; Metazoa; Chordata; Mammalia; Proboscidea; Elephantidae
Gene: SRSF2
Gene name: serine and arginine rich splicing factor 2
Exons: 4
Source: RefSeq, a predicted model, not a curated record